RNAcentral lists this long non-coding RNA (2353 nucleotides) under Gallus gallus (chicken). The record is from RNAcentral. Lineage: Eukaryota; Metazoa; Chordata; Aves; Galliformes; Phasianidae.
UUCGAUGAUCUGCAUUGUUAUUAUUGCUCUUAUUUUUAUUACUUCUAUUCUUUUGUUAUUCUUACUGCUUAUCUUACUGUUUUCCUUUUUGCUAUUUUUAUGGGUUUUUUUUUUCCCCCUUACAACCUCCCCCCCCCCCCCCUCCCUUAUUUUGCUGUACGUUUCCCUUCGCUAGGCCUUGCAGGAGUUUGCAGCUUGGCCGCAGGGCUCGUGCAGAUGGGGGGGAAGGGGGGAGAGGCGUUGCGUUUUAUAUAUUUUUGAUAUUAAUUCUUUUUAAAGCGCUGCGUCGACGGAGGGCUAAAAAUAGCCGUUGCCAAAGCGGAAUCCGCUCGGAUGGGGAGGAAAAGGGUUCGGAGUGCCCCCCCCGGCGAUGCAUCGCCGCGAUAAGGCCGGGGGGGGCGCGGAGACAGUCGGAGGGGGGAGGCGAGGAGAGAAGGGAUGCCCCGAGCCCCAUAGUGGGGCAGAGGGGUGAUGAGGGCCUGGCCCUUACUGCCCCGGGGGACAGCGUGUACCCUGGGUAUCAGCUGGGGCACUGGGAAGAAAAUGCAGGGGGUUCCAAGGCUGUCUUUUCCUUAAAAAGCCGACUUUUGGUUUUAUUUCUCAUUUGUCUAUGUGGUUAUUUCUGUACUUGAAAGUGCAACUUAAUUUCCAGAGGCCACCUUCGGUGCUUGCCUAUCAAGAGUGUUACAGUGUUUCCAUGCUUUAGGACUUGGGUCCUAAACUGAGAAGCCCAGGGGCAGCCGCAUCUCGGAGCACACGGAGGGGCGAUGCCCGUAGCGAUGCCCGUGGCCGCGCCUGAGGGAUGCUGGAGGCCCAGUGCCCAUCGCACUGACAAGUCGAGGCUUGUUUUGCUUGUCCACGGCCGUGGGCAGGCAGAGGGAGUUGCAGACCCCACGCCACUUCCUUCUUCUUAAAGCAUGUCUGCAAAGAUGGGCAGUAAUGAGAGCACUGGUUUGGAGAGCAUUGUUUGGGUGAUGUGCUGACUGGUUUGGAUUAGCGUAGAAGCAUGCCUAUCUGUUGCUGUAAAAUAUGCUGAAAAAUCUCACUCUGAAGUGCUGACAUCACCGUAAGAAAUAAUGCUACAAUGCAAGAUUUGAUAACAUCUCAGAGACACCAUUUUCCUUUCCUCUGUGAUUUUAGAAAUUGUGUAGUAAGGAUGUGUGCUUUCCGAGCACGUGGAGCAGCCAGGUGCUGUGCUGGGUGCCAUGUGUGAUGGAUGCCGGCUGACAUCCACGGAGCUUAGUGUGUGCUAUAUACAUUGUUAGCUUUGUGUUAGAAAGCCUCUAACUUUUGUUUUUUCCCCUUUUCUCGCAAGAAGUGUGGCUUGCUCCUGGGUUAGGAUGCCGUAAUCCAGGUAGAUGUGGCUGUGCCUUUGUGCGCAGGCAGUGAGGUGUACAGGUGCACUGUGUCAGCCCUUGGGAGUGCCUCUGUUUCUGUUCAGUGUGGGACACGCUGUGCACCUCCAGCAUCCCUGCACGGUGUGAGCACUGCAGGCCGAGGUGCUGCAUCCCUUGCUCGGGCUGCGUGCUGAUGUCCUCGUGCUGCCAGAGCAGGUUGGCAAGAGUGAGAAUAAGGAAGGGCUGGUGCCUGCUUCUGCUGAAAGCUCUGCGUGUUGCAGAAAUGAAUUAUGUAUAGGAAUUAGUUCUUAAAAUGGAAGAUGGGCUCCCUGUGUGAAGUUCCGUGCAUGGAAUACAACUUCCGCAGGAGCUGCCUGCUCUCUGAGGCUGGGAGCUGUGUGCCGACGGCACAGCUCGUGUCGCAGCUCUGCAGCUGUGCUGUUCUCUCUCUGCCGAACCAAAGCCCAGAUUUCUGCUCCAUCAAAGGCUGUAUCUGCUCAACUUUGAGCUUAUGCCUAAUUCUCUGCAGGACCCGAGCCGUAUCUUCCUGUUUUUAAUCAGAUUGCUGUGCAGAGAGGGCUUUCGGUUGGUGGCUGAGUGUAUCUCACUAACUUUUAUAAAGGAAUUACUGCAGCACUGAGGGUGUGGAGAAAGACCGGGGAAAAAACUGUAUCUACCAUUUUUGAAUGUAUCAGAAUAUCGUUGUGUUCUUCUAUCACCUUUCAGAUGAGAAUGUUCAGUGGGUUACAACAGUGUCACUGCUUUUCUGUAAUCAUGCAGGCGCAGCCCUACUAGGAAUUGCAAGGUAGGGCUUACACAUGUGAUAUCUUCAUAAAAAAAUACAUUUAUACACACACACCUUUUUUUCACCCAUUGGUCUGUGCAAGCAAUAGCACUGAUGCCAUGUCAAGGGCAGGACAUUGACUUUUGUGAUCUGGGAGGUGUUUCCAUGGCUUGUGGGAACCCCGAGGCUCAUCUUUUUGUUCCCUAUCUGUGGAUAUAGUGGCAACUCUCUG